This 384-nucleotide unclassified non-coding RNA is filed under the name uncultured Saccharomycetaceae. RNAcentral's name for it is "sequence contains ITS1". The stretch from base 1 to 105 matches the Rfam family "5.8S ribosomal RNA", at positions 50 to 154 of the family's 154-position model. Lineage: Eukaryota; Fungi; Ascomycota; Saccharomycetes; Saccharomycetales; Saccharomycetaceae. The record is from RNAcentral.
GAAAUGCGAUACGUAAUGUGAAUUGCAUAAUUCCGUGAAUCAUCGAAUCUUUGAACGCACAUUGCGCCCCAUGGUAUUCUGUGGGGCAUGCCUGUUUGAGCGUCAUUUCCUUCUCAACAAGCGAUUGUUGGUUGUGAGCGGUAGCGGCAGCGCUGGACGGCGGCACGAGAGUGCGGCAGUCUGGGAGGCAGCCGGUUAGCUUGAAAGUGAAGGAGGCGAGGCAGCACGUCUGAGACGGAAGCUUUGCGAACGAGUUAGGUUGUACCAAGUUGUUUGCGAGGGCUUGCGGGGAGGAGAGGAGCUGGCGCGCCGGCGGUCUUUGAGACUGCGCAAAAGGGACACGAGUUUGACCUCAAAUCAGGUAGGAGUACCCGCUGAACUUAA